Molecule: transfer RNA, 73 nt
Filed under: Paramuricea clavata
Lineage: Eukaryota; Metazoa; Cnidaria; Anthozoa; Malacalcyonacea; Plexauridae
Rfam family: tRNA
About the family: Transfer RNA (tRNA) molecules are approximately 80 nucleotides in length.
Source: Rfam by way of RNAcentral
GCCUCUGUAGCUCAGUUGGUUAGAGCGCUGCACCCGAAUCGCAGGGCCGUAGGUUCAAUUCCUACCAGAGGAC